AUGGACGGUCAAAUGGUAUUUCACCUAGCUCUUCCAGUUUGUUGGUCCAUGGACAGCCAGAUGAUAUCUCGCCCAGCUAACGUGCUUUCAAUUAUCAGUUUGCAAAACAGGCAAAUGCUUCUGCAAUUUUCGCUAGCACUAUAUAAUACAUCAAUUGGUUUCUUAUUGUUGAAAUUUGAAGAUCUGCGAAUUAGAAGAAUUGUCUUUUUUAUAGGCUGCCUGUUUUGUGUUGCAAAAUUAGAAGUAUUUUCUAAUGUGGUGCAAAAUUUUGUGUUGUUCUUAUGGCCCAUGGUCCUACGUAAAGUAUUCCAAUACAUCUCCACAAAUCAGUUUUUCUUAAUUUUCACGUAA
Molecule: ribosomal RNA, 351 nt
Filed under: Triticum aestivum (bread wheat)
Lineage: Eukaryota; Viridiplantae; Streptophyta; Magnoliopsida; Poales; Poaceae
Description: partial small subunit ribosomal RNA
Source: RNAcentral